AAUUUGAGUCGGGGAGAAAUGAAAUUUGGGCCUAAAAUUCUUCAAAGCCUUUACUCUUUUAUUUUUGUGACGAAGUCUUUCUCGGUUUUUCCCUUAUCUCCUCUAACCUAAUACCCUCGCAUCCACAGCUCGUCAGCUCGCCUCCACCACAAAUGAACGCCGUUUUGCCUCUCCGGCGUCCGGUGCCUUCGCCGGUGACGUGAGAGGGAUCCUUUGUGUCACUGGUGUUAUCUAAUCCUGGUUGUCAGUGGUGGUCGUCAGAGAUAUAGAGUUCGUGAUUUGAGAUCUCAAUUUGCGGCGUCUCGAGACAACUCCGUGGCUCAUGUUGAUGGCCUCCAAUUUGUGGAGUUCGCGGCGCGAGGAUCCACACGGUACAGCUGGAGAGGGAUUCAAUGGCUAAUUGGGAAGUUGAUUUGUCGGAGAAUCUAGAAGAAUACCUUCAAAAUUAUUACCGGAGAACUCACUGGAAAUGAAGAAGAUGGGCAGAUUCCUGUGAAUUCGCUGAAGGGCUCGGUUCAAGUUUACUCCCAAGAAAGUUGAGUACUUGUAUAAUUUGGUUCUACGUACGUUGGAGUUUCUAUCAAAGCAAAUGUUUGUCUUUUUGAACUCCUUGUGUUUUUUGCUUAGGGAAUAUCUAAGCUAAUUGAACUAGAUAAAACAUAAUUACUUGUUUGUGAA
Arabidopsis lyrata subsp. lyrata is the source of this 678-nucleotide long non-coding RNA. RefSeq lists it as uncharacterized. The transcript has 2 exons. The record is from RefSeq and is a predicted model, not a curated record. NCBI's taxonomy places the organism in Eukaryota, Viridiplantae, Streptophyta, Magnoliopsida, Brassicales, Brassicaceae.